GAUGAAGAACGUAGCGAAAUGCGAUAAUUAAUGUGAAUUGCAGAAUUUAGUGAACCAUCGAGUCUUUGAACGCAAGUUGCGCCCGAAGCCAUUAGGCCGAGGGCACGCCUGCCUGGGCGUCACACGUCGUUGCCCCCCCAUCUACUCCUUCGGGAUUGCGGGGGGCGGAUGAUGGCCUCCCGUGCGCCUCGUCGCGCGGUUGGCAUAAAUGCCAAGUCCUCGGCGACGCACGCCACGACAAUCGGUGGUUGCGAAACCUCGGUUGCCCGUCGUGUGCGGUCGUCGCGCAUCGAGGGCUCGAAAAAAUUGCCGGGCUCCGGCUCGGCUUUCAACGCGACCCCAGGUCAGGCGGGGUUACCCGCUGAAUUUAAGCAUAUCAAUAAGCGGAGGA
RNAcentral lists this unclassified non-coding RNA (391 nucleotides) under soil metagenome. Its description in RNAcentral is "partial contains 5.8S ribosomal RNA, internal transcribed spacer 2, and large subunit ribosomal RNA". The stretch from base 1 to 122 matches the Rfam family "5.8S ribosomal RNA", at positions 35 to 154 of the family's 154-position model. The record is from RNAcentral.